This 472-nucleotide ribosomal RNA is filed under the name uncultured bacterium. RNAcentral's name for it is "partial 16S ribosomal RNA". It matches the Rfam family "Bacterial small subunit ribosomal RNA", at positions 28 to 507 of the family's 1533-position model. The record is from RNAcentral.
GACGAACGCUGGCGGCGUGCUUAACACAUGCAAGUCGAACGCUGAAGCUUGGUGCUUGCCCUGGGUGGCUGAGUGGCGAACGGGUGAGUAAUACGUGAGUAACCUGCCCUUGACUCUGGGAUAAGCCUGGGAAACUGGGUCUAAUACUGGAUAUGACAUGCCACUGCAUGGUGGUGUGUGGAAAGGGUUUUACUGGUUUUGGAUGGGCUCACGGCCUAUCAGCUUGUUGGUGGGGUAAUGGCCUACCAAGGCGACGACGGGUAGCCGGCCUGAGAGGGUGACCGGCCACACUGGGACUGAGACACGGCCCAGACUCCUACGGGAGGCAGCAGUGGGGAAUAUUGCACAAUGGGCGGAAGCCUGAUGCAGCGACGCCGCGUGAGGGAUGACGGCCUUCGGGUUGUAAACCUCUUUCAGCACGGAAGAAGCGAGAGUGACGGUACGUGCAGAAGAAGCGCCGGCUAACUACGUG